RNAcentral lists this ribosomal RNA (468 nucleotides) under uncultured bacterium. RNAcentral's name for it is "partial 16S ribosomal RNA". It matches the Rfam family "Bacterial small subunit ribosomal RNA", at positions 28 to 507 of the family's 1533-position model. The record is from RNAcentral.
GACGAACGCUGGCUGCUUUCUUAACACAUGCAAGUCGAACGGAAAGGCCCUGCUUUUGUGGGGUGCUCGAGUGGCGAACGGGUGAGUAACACGUGAGUAACCUGCCCUUGACUUUGGGAUAACUUCAGGAAACUGGGGCUAAUACCGGAUAGGAGCUCCUGCUGCAUGGUGGGGGUUGGAAAGUUUCGGCGGUUGGGGAUGGACUCGCGGCUUAUCAGCUUGUUGGUGGGGUAGUGGCUUACCAAGGCUUUGACGGGUAGCCGGCCUGAGAGGGUGACCGGACACAUUGGGACUGAGAUACGGCCCAGACUCCUACGGGAGGCAGCAGUGGGGAAUAUUGCACAAUGGGCGGAAGCCUGAUGCAGCAACGCCGCGUGCGGGAUGACGGCCUUCGGGUUGUAAACCGCUUUCGCCUGUGACGAAGCGUGAGUGACGGUAAUGGGUAAAGAAGCACCGGCUAACUACGUG